RNAcentral lists this ribosomal RNA (478 nucleotides) under uncultured bacterium. Its description in RNAcentral is "partial 16S ribosomal RNA". It matches the Rfam family "Bacterial small subunit ribosomal RNA", at positions 28 to 507 of the family's 1533-position model. The record is from RNAcentral.
GAUGAACGCUGGCGGCGUGCUUAACACAUGCAAGUCGAACGAGAAAUGUAGACGGAAACCUUCGGGCGGAAGCCUUCAUUUCGAGUGGCGGACGGGUGAGUAACGCGUGGGUAACCUGCCUCAUACAGGGGGAUAACAGUUGGAAACGACUGUUAAUACCGCAUAAGACCACAGCAUCGCAUGAUGCGGGGGUGAAAACUCCGGUGGUAUGAGAUGGACCCGCGUUCGAUUAGCCAGUUGGCGGGGUAACGGCCCACCAAAGCGACGAUCGAUAGCCGAUCUGAGAGGAUGACCGGCCACAUUGGGACUGAGACACGGCCCAAACUCCUACGGGAGGCAGCAGUGGGGAAUAUUGCACAAUGGGGGAAACCCUGAUGCAGCGACGCCGCGUGAGUGAAGAAGUACUUCGGUAUGUAAAGCUCUAUCAGCAGGGAAGAAAAUGACGGUACCUGAGUAAGAAGCCCCGGCUAACUACGUG